CUAGAGCAAGGCGACGCUGGAACCGCAGGCGCUGGGGAUUGUGGUAGUUGUAGUCACGCGUCUCGGCGGAGGCUUGGGCGCCCUCCUCUCUAGGAACUUCGACAUCUGGCCGGUCCUUCUCGAGUCUCUCCACCUCGCCCUGCCAGCCCUGUUUUAUUCCCGAGCCUGCUCGCGGGCCCCUAAGGCGUCCUCUCUGGCAGCCGUGCGUCCUAGCCUGUGGCGGGUGGCGCCGCGCGUGCCCUCUGCCUCACCUUGCUCACGGCGUCUCUCCGCCCCAGUGCGCCUGUUGGCGCUCGCUCCGCUGCCUGGCUAACACCUGCUGUCCUCCGAAAUCGUCCUUCCGGCAAGCCUUCCCUAACCCAGUGGCAGGGAAGCGCGUUUGCUGGGCUCCCGCGAUGUCCUGGUGAUGCUUAUUAAGCUUCACUUACAGCUCUGCCUCCACCAUUAGACUAGGCAUUCCCUGAGGGCAGGGACCACAUCUCCUUUGUUCACCUUCAAUACCCUCGACAAUGCCACUGUGACCAGAUUCUCAACAAAUGUGGGGAAGAAGAGGCGAGUCUUUUCAUUUCACCCCUCUCCACCUUUAGGGCCCAGCAACCCCACUUGCUUGAAGCAUCCGCCAUGUUGGUUCAUGUUUAAGCCCAAAGGUCUUUUUCACUCCUUUUCUCCUGACAAUUAUUUUUUCCUCCAAAAGAUCCAGCAUAGGUGUUAUGCCCUCUGGGAAGCCUCCUCUUAGUCCUUGUCAGGUAUCUCCUGUGGGAUCCAGCUGUCCCUGGGGCUUCCCUCCUCCCAGAUAGAGCUGUUUCACUGUGUACUGACUGCGUAUUUAACUCUCUUUCCAGGUACACUGGAAAGGAAUCUGGUUAAAUACAGUUAACAUCUACAUCCCAGGACCAGUGCAGGACCUGCAGUAUUUCAUGAAUUAAAAAGAAACACAAAGAGAAAA
Homo sapiens (human) is the source of this 946-nucleotide long non-coding RNA. RefSeq lists it as uncharacterized. The record is from RefSeq and is a predicted model, not a curated record. Lineage: Eukaryota; Metazoa; Chordata; Mammalia; Primates; Hominidae. The transcript is spliced from 2 exons.